AGUAGAGAUAUUCGUUGAUCCAGUUGCGCUGGCUUCUGAUGAGGCUCGCAUCGAACAUGCGCUG
Molecule: small RNA, 64 nt
Filed under: Sinorhizobium meliloti 2011
Lineage: Bacteria; Pseudomonadati; Pseudomonadota; Alphaproteobacteria; Hyphomicrobiales; Rhizobiaceae
Description: putative ncRNA
Source: RNAcentral